AUGUUGAUUUUUGUACUAAAAUUUGGUACAUUGGUAAUUGUUGAACAUGUUGAAUCAUCCACGACUUUAUCCCUCUUUAUCUCCUCUGAAGCAUGAUUUCUCCCAUCUCUAGUGGCGCGAUCUUCAAUUGAUUUUUCUCAUCACGCAAUCCUUAGCUGAUUUGAGUCCUCCACUACAUAGCCAUUCCUCUGAAGUUGUUAAGAUUCAUCUAAUUUUGUUCAUAAUUUGCAGGUUUUAUCUGGAUUUAAAUUCCUUAAUCAGCAGUCAUGAUUUAUCCAAAAUCAUAUGUGGGGAAUCACUCUGAAGAAUUUGGAAUAUCGAAUGUUUAGGUACAAAUUAACAUCAUGUUGAAUGUGGACAAUGCUUUGAAUUCCAGUGAUGCUCUCAAUAAUACCAUGAAUCUGAAUCCGUGAUGAAGAUGAUACUACUGUAGGUGUUUCUUGGAAGAUGGGAAAACAUUUUGUUCAAUUUGAAGUAAUUGUGGUUUUCUUGAUGCUAGAAACUGUCCAAAAAAUGAAUGUUGGGUUCAUUAUGUUUACAAGUACUUUUAGUUCUAUCUAUUGCAUAUGAUUGUAAGGAUUUGUUUAGUUUUUCAAAAUUUAAUAAAAAAGUGGUGUUUCUUUCUUUCAAAUAUAUGUUAAUUUUUAUUUUGUAUUCG
RNAcentral lists this long non-coding RNA (658 nucleotides) under Helianthus annuus (common sunflower). The record is from RNAcentral. Lineage: Eukaryota; Viridiplantae; Streptophyta; Magnoliopsida; Asterales; Asteraceae.